RNAcentral lists this ribosomal RNA (253 nucleotides) under uncultured bacterium. Its description in RNAcentral is "partial 16S ribosomal RNA". It matches the Rfam family "Bacterial small subunit ribosomal RNA", at positions 524 to 776 of the family's 1533-position model. The record is from RNAcentral.
UACGUAGGUGGCAAGCGUUGUCCGGAUUUACUGGGUGUAAAGGGUGCGUAGGCGGCUUUGCAAGUCAGAAGUGAAAUCCAUGGGCUUAACCCAUGAACUGCUUUUGAAACUGCAAGGCUUGAGUGAAGUAGAGGCAGGCGGAAUUCCCGGUGUAGCGGUGAAAUGCGUAGAGAUCGGGAGGAACACCAGUGGCGAAGGCGGCCUGCUGGGCUUUAACUGACGCUGAGGCACGAAAGCAUGGGUAGCAAACAGG